UCCUCUUCAACGCUGCGUUUCUAUGCUGCAAACGGAGAGAUUCGUGCGCAAGCAAAAGUCUCUCAUCACUGGCAUAUGAGAAAUUCGGAGUAACUUCUUCACACCACUCACCCAACGUCGCCUGCCUUGUGCGGGAUUGACGGGUCUGCCCGCGAGGGCCUGGCGUGACUUCACGUCUGCAAUUGGCAUCAGAAAAGCAGGGCCCGGGCCGCCCUCAUGCAUAUCCCGAAUCCCUUCCGGGGGAUAUAGGAGAAGAUGGGGGCCCUAGGACUCGGUGUCCCUAUGGGAGAGCCGUUGCGAAAAGAUUGUGCAGAGCACUUGAGUGCGAUACGCAGCGUCUGGACCCUGGCUGGCCUCGGCUGGUCAGGGGCUUGACAAUUCAAUUCCGAUCAUUCUGUUGAGGA
This 404-nucleotide RNase P RNA is filed under the name Colletotrichum sublineola. RNAcentral's name for it is "Nuclear RNase P". It matches the Rfam family "Nuclear RNase P". Rfam says of the family: Ribonuclease P (RNase P) is a ubiquitous endoribonuclease, found in archaea, bacteria and eukarya as well as chloroplasts and mitochondria. Its best characterised activity is the generation of mature 5'-ends of tRNAs by cleaving the 5'-leader elements of precursor-tRNAs. Cellular RNase Ps are ribonucleoproteins. Lineage: Eukaryota; Fungi; Ascomycota; Sordariomycetes; Glomerellales; Glomerellaceae. The record is from Rfam by way of RNAcentral.